UGCGUAGGCGGUGCCCUAAGUCUGUUGUGAAAUCUCCCGGCUUAACUGGGAGGGUGCGGUGGAAACUGGGGUGCUUGAGAGUGGGAGAGGUUAGCGGAAUUCCUGGUGUAGCGGUGAAAUGCGUAGAUAUCAGGAGGAACACCGGUGGUGUAGACGGCUGACUGGACCACGACUGACGCUGAGGCACGAAAGCGUGGGUAGCAAACA
This 207-nucleotide ribosomal RNA is filed under the name uncultured bacterium. RNAcentral describes it as "partial 16S ribosomal RNA". It matches the Rfam family "Bacterial small subunit ribosomal RNA", at positions 568 to 774 of the family's 1533-position model. The record is from RNAcentral.